AGCGGCGAACGGGCGAGUAACAGGUGGACAACCUACCUUCUGGCGGGGGACAACAGUUGGAAACGACUGCUAAUACCGCAUGUGAUUGCAUCUCCUCGGAAGUGCAAGGAAAGGCGCGUUUGCGUCACCAGAAGAUGGGUCCGCCCCCCAUUAGCUUGUUGGUGUGAUAACAGCGCACCAAGGCUCCGAUGGGUAGCCGAGCUGAGAGGUUGAUCGGCCACACUGGGACUGAGACACGGCCCAGACACCUACGGGUGGCAGCAGUAGGGAAUAUUGGACAAUGGACGAAAGUCUGAUCCAGCCAUGCCGCGUGAGUGACGAAGGUCUUCGGAUUGUAAAACUCUUUUAUGAGGGAAGAACAUCCCGGGGAGGAAAUGCCCCGGGCCUGACGGUACCUCAGGAAUAAGGGACGGCUAACUCCGUGCCAGCAGCCGCGGUAAUACGGAGGUCCCGAGCGUUGUUCGGAAUUACUGGGCGUAAAGGGGGCGCAGGCGGACAGGUCAGUGGAAAGUGGAAGCCCGGGGCUCAACCCCGGAAAGCCUUUCCAUACUGCUUGUCUUGAGUUCGUGAGAGGAGAGCGGAAUUCAGGUGUAGCGGUGAAAUGCUUAGAUAUCCUGAGGAACACCAAUGGCGAAAGCAGCUCUCUGGCACGUUACUGACGCUGAGGCCCGAAAGCGUGGGGAGCGAACGGGAUUAGAUACCCCGGUAGUCCACGCCGU
Molecule: ribosomal RNA, 719 nt
Filed under: uncultured Candidatus Hydrogenedens sp.
Lineage: Bacteria; Pseudomonadati; Candidatus Hydrogenedentota; Candidatus Hydrogenedentia; Candidatus Hydrogenedentales; Candidatus Hydrogenedentaceae
Description: bacterial SSU rRNA
Rfam family: Bacterial small subunit ribosomal RNA
Source: RNAcentral